Molecule: unclassified non-coding RNA, 216 nt
Filed under: plant metagenome
Description: partial contains small subunit ribosomal RNA, internal transcribed spacer 1, and 5.8S ribosomal RNA
Source: RNAcentral
UCUCCGUUGGUGAACCAGCGGAGGAUCAUUAUCGAGGUUACAACUCCCCAACCAUUAUGAAUUUUACCUUUUCGUUGCUUCGGCAGGAUUGCCCCGGGCGCUUCGGUGCCCCGGAUUCAGGCGCCUGCCGGGUGACCUAAACUCUUGUAUUAUAGUGAAUGUCUGAUUGGAUUUCAAAAAUAAUCAAAACUUUCAACAACGGAUCUCUUGGUUCUG